AUUGAACGCUGGCGGCAGGACUAACACAUGCAAGUCGAGCGGAGCGGCGGACGGGUGAGUAAUGCCUAGGAAUCUGCCUGGUAGUGGGGGAUAACGUCCGGAAACGGGCGCUAAUACCGCAUACUAUCAGAUGAGCCUAGGUCGGAUAAGAUCGUUGGUGGGGUAAAGGCCUACCAAGGCGACGAUCCGUGACUGGUCUGCGAAGAUGAUCAGUCACACUUGAGCUGAGACACGGUCCAGACUCCUACGUGAGGAAGGGGUGGGGAAUAUUGGACAAUGGGCGAAAGCCUGAUACAGCCAUGCCGAGUGUGUGAAAAAGGUCUUCGGAUUGUAAAGCACUUAUAGUUGGGAGACGUUACCAACAGAAUAAGCACCGGAUAAAUUCGUACCAGCAGCCGCGGUAAUUC
RNAcentral lists this ribosomal RNA (407 nucleotides) under uncultured bacterium. RNAcentral describes it as "partial 16S ribosomal RNA". It matches the Rfam family "Bacterial small subunit ribosomal RNA", at positions 30 to 526 of the family's 1533-position model. The record is from RNAcentral.